Oncorhynchus gorbuscha (pink salmon) is the source of this 1033-nucleotide long non-coding RNA. RefSeq lists it as uncharacterized. The record is from RefSeq and is a predicted model, not a curated record. The transcript is spliced from 3 exons. NCBI's taxonomy places the organism in Eukaryota, Metazoa, Chordata, Actinopteri, Salmoniformes, Salmonidae.
UCCUGAAACAUGUCAAUGGUCUGAUGCAUGGCCUUGACAGCAGUGCUUGGCCACACACUCAGUUACCAGGGACCUAUUCUGUCACAUCUCAUGGAAAAGAGAGCAGAAACACCCCUCCUUAAAUCCAUAAUCAUUGACAUGUCCAAUGUACAGUGAAGAACUACCAUGCUAUUGUUUGAGGAACAAAAAACACAACUGGGUUGAUACAUUCACCUCUGAAGGAACUGGGGUCUACAGUUUGACCCCACUGCUGUCUCUGGCUCCAAACCCACCCCGCCCGGCCAUCAAGAUGUGUGAAAGUUAGUGUAUCAGCUAAUGAUCCAUCGUGUAUGAUAUUUCUGGGAGUGUGUAAACUAAAAGAAAUAUUACCAUAGCAUUUUUGUAUGUUCUCUAUGGUAAUGUACUUGUAAAUGUAUCAAUUGACCAAUUCGGCACAUUUGGGCAAACUCCUGGCAGACUUGAUACAAAAUAUUGUGCAAUCUAAUUCCUAUCUAAAUUACACCUAGACUCCUAUCUGAAAGUAUGACCUUACUCUUGCAUUUCAAAGAUGAAGGGGGAAAAAAGAUACAAACAUGCAUCUUUUACCAGAUCUAAUGUGUUACUCUCCAACAUUAAUUUCAGAUUUCCACAAACAGUGUUCAGUGUUUUCUUUCAAAUGGUGUCAAUAAUAUGCAUAUCCUUGCUUCAGGUCUUGAGUUACAGGCAGUUCGAUUUGGGUAUGUCAUUAUAGGGGGAAAAAGGGGUAUGAUCCAUACACAUAGUGCUUGCAAUAUAUUCUGUUAGUGCUCAUAGCCCCUGGAAAGUUGUUGCACAACACUUGAUUAAGUGAUGUUACAACACCAUGUUAUGUUUCAAAACAUCUCAGGAUGAUUUGUUUCAAAACUCCAGAAAAGUUAAGAAUUUGUCUCCUUUUAGUUGGUGGCAGCUCAGUUGCCACUCUCUUUGGUGAUAUAGAGCACUUCAUUUUAAGUGUACAGCUUGAAUUAAAAAUAGUUUCAAUUGGUCACUGGCCUGCCUAUACACAAUAGCCCAU